GAGGGUGGAUGAGGAGCCUUUGGGCUUUGGGAGGGACUUUGGGCUCGAGGUUUUACCCAAGCCUGGACUCCUGAGGUUGGGAUUGUCUCCACCCCCCGGUCAGGAGCACCCAGGGGGAAUUCCCCGCAUCCCAAACCCCCAAAUCCCUGUUUUUGUCCCCAAUUGCAGCGGCCGCAGCCGAGUACACGACCGUGUAUGCCGAGGUGGGCGCCUCCCAGCCGCGCGUCCCUAAGGGAACGAAAGCCAAGCCAGCAGACGGGGGAUCCCCCAAAACCAUUUAUUCCCUGGUCAAGCGUCCGGAGCAGGUGAGCUGGGAGACGCCGGGGUGGGGGAUGGAACCCCUGGAGCUGGGAUGGGGACGGAGCGGCCCAGAGCCUUAAACCAAAGCCCCGGAUCUCCAUCCGAGGCUGGGAUCAGAUCCCAAACCGAGCUCGUGUCCCUCUGUCCUCGCAGGCGGAUGAUGGGACGGCAGAAAAUGCCACCAUGACCGGCCUGGAACUGGUCUAGAAGGACCUGGGACUGGUCCAGAAGGACCUGGGACUGGUCCAGAAGGACCUCAAACUGGACUAGAUGGACCCAGGACUGGCUUAAAGAACACGAAACUGUUUUAAAGGAUAUAAAACUGGUUUAAAGGAUAUAAAACCAGUUUAAAGGAUAUAAAACUGGUUUCAGAACACGAAACUGGCUUAAAAAAUCUGGAAGUGCUUUAAAAGUCUGCAGCUAUUUUAAUGAGUCUGGACCUGGUUCACAAGAAACCACAACUGGUUUAGAUGAAGCUGGAAGUGGUUGAAAAGAUCCAGAACUGGUUGAAAAGACCCGGAAUCGGUUGAAAAGACCCAGAACUGGUUGAAAAGGCCCAGAACUGGUUGAAAAGAUCCAGAACUGGUUGAAAAGACCCAGAACUGGUUGAAAAGACCCAGAACUGGUUGAAAAGACCCGGAACUGGUUGAAAAGAUCCAGAACUGGUUGAAAAGAUCCAGAACUUGUUGAAAAGACCCAGAACUGGUUGAAAAGACCCAGAACUGGUUGAAAAGACCCAGAACUGGUUCAAAAGACCCAGAACUGGUUGAAAAGACCCGGAACUGGUUGAAAAGACCCAGAACUGGUUGAAAAGACCCGGAACUGGUUGAAAAGACCCAGAACUGGUUGAAAAGACCCAGAACUGGUUGAA
This 1171-nucleotide long non-coding RNA is filed under the name Chloebia gouldiae (Gouldian finch). Its description in RNAcentral is "Erythrura gouldiae (Gouldian finch) lncRNA (ENSEGOG00005016297.1)". Lineage: Eukaryota; Metazoa; Chordata; Aves; Passeriformes; Passeridae. The record is from RNAcentral.